UACGUAGGGUGCGAGCGUUGUCCGGAAUUAUUGGGCGUAAAGAGCUUGUAGGUGGUUUGUCGCGUCUGCUGUGAAAAUCCGGGGCUCAACCCCGGACUUGCAGUGGGUACGGGCAGACUAGAGUGUGGUAGGGGAGACUGGAAUUCCUGGUGUAGCGGUGGAAUGCGCAGAUAUCAGGAGGAACACCGAUGGCGAAGGCAGGUCUCUGGGCAAUAACUGACGCUGAGGAGCGAAAGCGUGGGGAGCGAACAGG
Molecule: ribosomal RNA, 253 nt
Filed under: uncultured bacterium
Lineage: Bacteria
Description: partial 16S ribosomal RNA
Rfam family: Bacterial small subunit ribosomal RNA
Source: RNAcentral